UACAGAGGGUGCGAGCGUUGUUCGGAAUUAUUGGGCGUAAAGCGCUUGUAGGCGGCCUGUCAAGUCGCGUGUGAAAAUCCCCCUGGCUUAACCAGGGGAAGUGCGCGCGAAAACUGAAGGGCUUGAGUGCCGGAGAGGGUCGCGGAAUUCCCGGUGUAGAGGUGAAAAUUCGUAGAUAUCGGGAGGGAAACACCAGUGGCGAAGGCGGGCGA
This 212-nucleotide ribosomal RNA is filed under the name uncultured bacterium. RNAcentral describes it as "partial 16S ribosomal RNA". It matches the Rfam family "Bacterial small subunit ribosomal RNA", at positions 524 to 727 of the family's 1533-position model. The record is from RNAcentral.